This 1209-nucleotide long non-coding RNA is filed under the name Lepisosteus oculatus (spotted gar). RNAcentral describes it as "lncRNA (ENSLOCG00000022534.1)". The record is from RNAcentral. Lineage: Eukaryota; Metazoa; Chordata; Actinopteri; Semionotiformes; Lepisosteidae.
UGACAAAAGGAUUUAAAGAAGGGGUCUCCGGUGAUAAAAAGUGUUUUUUGAAGGUAAGUGAUAUUCCUACCUUUUGCCAUACUAUUUUUUUUUUGUAACUCGAUAAGACAACACGUAUUGCCGGCAUUUUAAAACCAGAACGAGUUUAUACAAAUAUUCUAACUUCUUUUUAGUUUCGUUGUGUUUUUGUUGAAUAGAAAUAAAAACUCUAGGGCGCUGUAUCUUCAUCUAUUGAAUGCAUUGAGUAAAGAUGGAUAACACUAACAUGUUAACGAUGCUUUUCAAAGCAAGGAGUUUUAUCGACUAUGAUAACCGCGGUAAGUGGUACUUUCUCUUAAAUGUAUUUGAAGCAUUGAAUGUCUAUGUGGCCGAAAGUAUUUUCUAAAUAUUGGAAUAGUGGGACUGUUUUCUUAGUGAAUUUGAGCGGGGUUGUAUAUUUCUACUUAUUUAAAAAGUUAGACUUCAAGAACAUCGAUUCUACAAAUCCGAUAUCUUGUUAACUUGAUGUUUUUUUUUUGCCUUCAGUUCUGCGGCUCCUGGUUCUCGGCGCUCCGACGAUCUCCUCUCCAGCUCCGCUCCAGCAACUCCUUGUGCGUUGGCAAGUUAUUCUUGACAGUGUGUGCUUUUCCUUACAUUUAAUUUUGGACACCAGUGGCUUGAUCGGUAAUAUAUCUGUAUAUAUAAGAUCUUUCAUUUAAUUAUUUUAAUUCUGUAUUUUUUAUUUGGUGUCUCUAAUACUGUAGUAAAGCUUCAAACGUUUGCUUUAUGAAGUCAGUUUCUGUUGGAUCUCUUCUUUGCGGAUUCGAGGCGUAAUAAAGCUUUCCGCUCCGAAAUGAUACAGUUUUGAAAAUACUGAAUUGACUGAUUCGUGUUUUAUUUUAUUUCUCCAGGUGACAAAGGAUUUCAAGAACGCGCCUGCAGUUAUGAAAGUUGUUUUGCCCCAGGUAAUGCGGCUCCUGCUCCUCGGCGCUCCGACGAUCUCUUUCCCAGCUCCACUCCAGAAACUCCUUGUGCGUUGGCAAGUUAUUCUUGACAGUGUGUGUGCUUUUCCUUACAUUUCAUUUUGGACACCAGUGGCUUGAUCUGUAAUGUACCGAUUCAGUGAUGUAUCUUUCACUUGAUGUUUUGAAGUUUUUCGUGUUUCCUGCUGACUGCUGCUACUGUUUGUGCUACGUAUUCUGCAAUAAAAACUGUUGAUUUCAUUUUCUG